GCACAGUCUUCUAUCACCCAGGGAAUUAAAUUAAAUUCACUGCAGAACACAGUUGGGAUGUGUUCACUGAAAGCAGAGGCAUACAUACACAGGGUGGCAGAACCGCUGCUGGCCAAGGUGAAGGGGCCAGAGCUGUAUGUGGAGAGGUGGAAGAUGCUUCAUGAGCUAAAUCCCAAUCCCAGGGGAGCUGGUAAGACCAUGGUCAACUCAGUGUUCAUGACAGACACACUUAACCUUAUCUGCUAUUUGGUGAGAGCAGGACACGCAAAAGUGUGUUGUGAGGUAUGGGGGAGAACAUAUGGUAUUGGUCCCUGCAGUCGCGGCAGUCAACAGAUCCUUCAGCAAAGGGACAUCAACUACUAUUACCUCAUACUAUGCCACAGUUAACAACCCUAGAUCAAGUUUGGCAUAUACUUCAUUCUGAAACAAAUGUUUCCUCUCAUGCCUUUGACAGAAGAGAGGCAUUGGAUUCUCGAUGAAGCCAGGAAAAUUCUGUUGAAAACGUCUGGAGGCACGUUUUUUCCCAUUUGAGGGGAAGAAAGUUUAUUUUUACAAACAAGCCCAAAUCCUUGUAACAGAUAUGUGGAAAGUAUUAGAAGAAAAAGGAGAUGGCUGCUUUAAGACAUCUAUGUUUGCUAACUACAGAUUACUUCAGGUUCUUGCUCACCAUGGACCUCUGAAAUACUCUUACGAACUACUGAAGAACCUUUUCGAAGGAGAAAUACUGUCAUAUGGGGAUAAGCAAGAGUGGGAAAAUCAGCAUGCUCACUUUGGUUGUGGUGAGCUGAUCUGGGAUUGCCUUCUGAGGCUUAUUGAAAAGGGAACGAAAA
Molecule: long non-coding RNA, 830 nt
Filed under: Homo sapiens (human)
Lineage: Eukaryota; Metazoa; Chordata; Mammalia; Primates; Hominidae
Description: non-protein coding lnc-BTD-1:2
Source: RNAcentral